GUUUCAUUUACUCCUCUUUUUCUACCUUCAUUUCACAUAUAUACAUGAGACAAUAAUAAUACUAUAAUAUAACUAUAACCCUCUCUUUUUAUUCAUAACAACAGAGUACUUUUUUAUAGUUUCACAUUGUAUAAUUUUUAAAUAGUAGUAUCAAAUAAGCAAUGACAUGGACACGUAUACACCCAAAAUUCCUACCAAUUGAUGGGCGAGUUAUAGCAAGAGCUGACUUGGUCUGGGUAUCAUUAUGGGCCUUAAAGCCCAAAUUUAAGUCAACAUGUUUGGCCCAUAUUAACAUUGCACACUCGUCUUUGUUUUUGUUUCGGCUUUCUAAUUAAAAUAAACCGAAGUAUUGAAUCAAAAUUGAAGAAGAAGAGGUACAGAAGCAGAGGAGAGUGCAAUUUUGGAGUGAAUGGAGGAAAGUAGCAGAAGCAAUCCAUGUGUUGAAUCACGAUCCUUCACGCGGAUCUUUAUUCGAAGCCAUUUGAUAAGCUUAUGUUCGCGCUUCAAAGUCUUCAAGCUCACGAUGAGGGUAAUGUCGUCUUGCUUGAGCUUUUAACUGUCCUUCCUGAAGAGAUAUCUGAUACUUUUCUCAUCAGUCUAGUCUUCGCCAGGAGUUGCUCUUGCAUACUUCCAUGGUUCUUGAUUUCUUACUCCAGCAGUCUGAGAAGCUAUUCGUCUCCCCUCUAUACCCGCAUGACAACAACCGGAAAAUACUUCGUUGUUUACUGAGUUGCUCUACGUUUCAAGUCCGUGCUGGAUGUUUCUCCGAGAUUCCACAGGGCGCGGUCGCAUCCCCUUCUUAACUACGUCUUUAACGCUCUCCAGGGUACUACUUUUGAUCUCGCCAUUGAGGUGCUUGUUGAACUUGUGACUCGUCAUGACUUAUGAGGAUCUUCCUCAGGUUUUAUUGUACAAAGUACAGUUGCUUAAAGAUACGCUUCUAAAUGCUGAUUUUAAAGUUGUCUCUGGCUUGGCAUGCUUGAUGUCUGAGAUUGGACAGGCUACACCAUGCUUGAUUGUUAAAGCAAGCUCUGAAGCGCUUAUUCUUACUGACGCCCUUUUGAGUUGCGUGUCAUUUCCAAGUGAAGACUGGGAGAUUGCAGACUCAACUGUCAGGCUUUGCGACAUAUAUUAUUAGCCUAGAUGAGAACAGACAGAAUGACAGAAAUCGCGUGAAAGAUAUAUAUUUCUCCCAGUUUUCUCAGCUUUGGUUGAUGCUCUUGUGCUGCGCGCUCAGGUCGAUGAGUUUACCUCCAGUGAUGAGAGUUCAUGGCUAGACCUGCCUGAUGGCCUGUUGCAUUUUAGAAAUAAUCUUCUCGAGCUCUUGGUAGAUAUUUGUCAGCUACUUCAUCCAACAACAUUUGUGAGUAAGGUGAGCACUUUAUGCUGUUACUACCCAGUGUACUGGAGUGUCUAUCGAGAAAUUUUCUGUCAUUUCAAAGCCAAGAAUGUUACAUAAGAACAGCGUGGUGUAAUCGCUGACGAAAUUUGUGAAAACGAGGUAUACGGGUCCUUGUUUAUCACCACGUUUGAGAGAUUUACUCAAGCAUCAUCACUGAUGGGUAUAAAUUUGUCAUAUAUAUGCGACCAAGAACCCGAUUUGGUGGAAGCAUAUGUGAAUUUCGCAUCAGCAUUAAUCCGCGGUUGUCAUAAGGCAGUGCAGUCAUUCCUUUGCUCGUUAAAGAAUUGUUGGGUACUUGUGGAACGCUUCUUGAAAUUUCUUUCCAAAAAGCGGCUAUGCACCGAGGCGCUGCUUUAGCUGCGAUGUCGUACUUGUGAGGUACGUGUGCAGUGGUUUACUAUUCUAAAACAUGGCAUCAACUUUUGGCAUACAAGACUCUUUGGUCAUAAGCAUGAUUAGUUAUGUAAUGUUU
Brassica oleracea var. oleracea is the source of this 1874-nucleotide long non-coding RNA. RefSeq lists it as uncharacterized. The transcript has 12 exons. The record is from RefSeq and is a predicted model, not a curated record. NCBI's taxonomy places the organism in Eukaryota, Viridiplantae, Streptophyta, Magnoliopsida, Brassicales, Brassicaceae.